UUAUCUCUUCCCCUCUCCCUCUCUUCAUCUCUCGUUCUCUUCGUCUCUCUAACUCUAUCGCCAAAAAAAAAAAAAAAACCAGAAAAGUCUCCGGCGACGAACGGAGAACAAGUCCAAGAAGAGCAUCGACUCGGUGUUUUUUUGUGCUGCAAGUUAUGGAUAAGGCGUCGCUUAUCCAUAAAAGUCUUUCUCGGUAGAUCUGGCCCCGACGAAGAAGAUGCACAACAGAUGGGGGUUGAUGACGGGCGGCAGAGACUUGGGAAGGUAUUCUCUGUUAAAAUAAAACAAAUCAUCUUUUAAUUAAUGUAAGUUUUCUUCUGCUUAAAGCUUAGGCUUUAAAAAUA
RNAcentral lists this long non-coding RNA (344 nucleotides) under Erythranthe guttata (spotted monkey flower). RNAcentral's name for it is "long non-coding RNA (EGUT_LNC003658)". Lineage: Eukaryota; Viridiplantae; Streptophyta; Magnoliopsida; Lamiales; Phrymaceae. The record is from RNAcentral.